CUGAUACAAUGGAAAGGAUUGUAUUUAUAUUCAUAAAUUCUAAAGCUGGACAGUCUGGAGGCUCCAGUGGUGUGUGCUGAGGAACGGGGGGGUCACAUCAGGGGGCCACGGUGUGUUCAUGUGUUCAGUGUUACCCGUGUCUCUGUUUCUCCCGCAGGAGGCGAUCACGCUUCCAGUACCGCGGUUCCAAGUGGAAAGCAGUCCAUCCGAAGGUCUCGCCACCGCAGGAAAGCUUCUCGCAGGGUCAAAGCUGUGCGUCCUGCGGACGAGGAAGACGGCGAUCAAGUCGAGGAGGAGGACGCCCGGUCCGGUUGCCAUUUCCCUUCGGACCGGGACUCGAGGGCAUUUGGGCAGCGGAGCGUGAGUCCCCUGCGGAGAGCCGUCCCAACAGGGGCUGCUUAGUGCGCUUUUCAGCACGAGUCUGGGGUGUCUACACACACUUCUGGACCCUGUUCAGUUGACUGUUUGAUCGACUGAUCGGUCGGUUGGUUGAUUGGCUGAUUGAUUAGUUUGGUUCCUUGUUAACAGCAGCAGGACUUUUCAAGGAUCGUUGACUGCAGUUGAUCUCUCCCACGUCCAGUAAAACACACCGCUGUCCAAUUGCUCAAAGCAGCAGAUAAGAGAGAAGUUCAGACCCUGAGGAAUGACUUUGCGUCUCCUUGGCAGCUGAGGAAUGGACGGCCAGAGGGGACAGGUGCGGAUGGGCUGCGGAGGAAGCAGGAGGAGGCGGCGCUGUCUUGCUUUAGAAGGGUGAGUCGCUUGUGGUCCCUUGGUGGUCUGGAUUUGCAUGCUCCAGCGGGGGGCGCCCUCGCGCCUCUAGUAAAACAGAUUGUCGCCUUGCGCCCCAGGACUGCAGGCAGGCGGAGGAGCGGUUAAGGCACAGGACGGCCCAGCUGUGCGAGAUGGAGCUUUGCCUCGCUGCACUCCUGAAGCAGAAGACGGUACGGUGCUGCAUACAGGUCUGUGGGACCUGCUCUUCUCCUGGCCGCCCACCGCUUCCUCCCUGUAGUCACAAACACCAGCAAUCGGAGACAGCCAACAAGUCCGCCACGGUUUCGUGGCGCUGCUUUAUACCAUGAUU
This 1081-nucleotide long non-coding RNA is filed under the name Scleropages formosus (Asian bonytongue). RNAcentral's name for it is "lncRNA (ENSSFOG00015026675.1)". Lineage: Eukaryota; Metazoa; Chordata; Actinopteri; Osteoglossiformes; Osteoglossidae. The record is from RNAcentral.